RNAcentral lists this ribosomal RNA (327 nucleotides) under uncultured bacterium. RNAcentral's name for it is "bacterial SSU rRNA". It matches the Rfam family "Bacterial small subunit ribosomal RNA", at positions 181 to 507 of the family's 1533-position model. The record is from RNAcentral.
CGGAUCCGCAUGGAUAUGUUGUUAAAGGUUUACCGCCUUGGGAUAGGCUUGCGUCUGAUUAGCUAGUUGGUGUGGUAAUGGCACACCAAGGCUACGAUCAGUAACUGGUCUGAGAGGAUGAUCAGUCACACUGGAACUGAGACACGGUCCAGACUCCGUACGGGAGGCAGCAGUGAGGAAUAUUGGGCAAUGCACGAAAGUGUGACCCAGCAACGCCGCGUGGAGGAUGAAGGUAUUCUAUAUCGUAAACUCCUGUGAGAGCAGACGAAAGACAGAUUAUUAAUUUGGAUGACUGUAUGCUCAGAGGAAGCCCCGGCUAACUACGUG